This 630-nucleotide ribosomal RNA is filed under the name Lactiplantibacillus plantarum. RNAcentral's name for it is "bacterial SSU rRNA". It matches the Rfam family "Bacterial small subunit ribosomal RNA", at positions 444 to 1079 of the family's 1533-position model. The record is from RNAcentral. Lineage: Bacteria; Bacillati; Bacillota; Bacilli; Lactobacillales; Lactobacillaceae.
UCUGAGAGUACUGUCNGUAUUGACGGUAUUUAACCAGAAAGCCACGGCUANUACGUGCCAGCAGCCGCGGUAAUACGUAGGUNGCAAGCGUUGUCCGGGAUUUAUUGGGCGUAAAGCGAGCGCAGGCGGUUUUUUAAGUCUGAUGUGAAAGCUUCGGCUCAACCGAAGAAGUGCAUCGGAAACUGGGAAACUUGAGUGCAGAAGAGGACAGUGGAACUCCAUGUGUAGCGGUGAAAUGCGUAGAUAUAUGGAAGAACACCAGUGGCGAAGGCGGCUGUCUGGUCUGUAACUGACGCUGAGGCUCGAAAGUAUGGGUAGCAAACAGGAUUAGAUACCCUGGUAGUCCAUACCGUAAACGAUGAAUGCUAAGUGUUGGAGGGUUUCCGCCCUUCAGUGCUGCAGCUAACGCAUUAAGCAUUCCGCCUGGGGAGUACGGCCGCAAGGCUGAAACUCAAAGGAAUUGACGGGGGCCCGCACAAGCGGUGGAGCAUGUGGUUUAAUUCGAAGCUACGCGAAGAACCUUACCAGGUCUUGACAUACUAUGCAAAUCUAAGAGAUUAGACGUUCCCUUCGGGGACAUGGAUACAGGUGGUGCAUGGUUGUCGUCAGCUCGUGUCGUGAGAUGUUGGG